Molecule: ribosomal RNA, 253 nt
Filed under: uncultured bacterium
Lineage: Bacteria
Description: partial 16S ribosomal RNA
Rfam family: Bacterial small subunit ribosomal RNA
Source: RNAcentral
UACGAAGGGGGCUAGCGUUGCUCGGAAUUACUGGGCGUAAAGGGAGCGUAGGCGGACAGUUAAGUCAGGGGUGAAAGCCCAGGGCUCAACCCUGGAAUUGCCUUUGAUACUGAUUGUCUUGAGUAUGGGAGAGGUAUGCGGAACUCCGAGUGUAGAGGUGAAAUUCGUAGAUAUUCGGAAGAACACCAGUGGCGAAGGCGGCUCUCUGGGACGGUACUGACGCUGAGACGCGAAAGCGUGGGGAGCGAACAGG